GACGAACGCUGGCGGCGUGCUUAACACAUGCAAGUCGAACGAAGAGCGAUGGAAGCUUGCUUCUAUCAAUCUUAGUGGCGAACGGGUGAGUAACGCGUAAUCAACCUGCCCUUCAGAGGGGGACAACAGUUGGAAACGACUGCUAAUACCGCAUACGAUCUAAUCUCGGCAUCGAGGAUAGAUGAAAGGUGGCCUCUACAUGUAAGCUAUCACUGAAGGAGGGGAUUGCGUCUGAUUAGCUAGUUGGAGGGGUAACGGCCCACCAAGGCGAUGAUCAGUAGCCGGUCUGAGAGGAUGAACGGCCACAUUGGGACUGAGACACGGCCCAGACUCCUACGGGAGGCAGCAGUGGGGAAUCUUCCGCAAUGGACGAAAGUCUGACGGAGCAACGCCGCGUGAGUGAUGACGGCCUUCGGGUUGUAAAGCUCUGUUAAUCGGGACGAAAGGCCUUCUUGCGAACAGUGAGAAGGAUGACG
RNAcentral lists this ribosomal RNA (476 nucleotides) under Veillonella parvula. RNAcentral describes it as "bacterial SSU rRNA". It matches the Rfam family "Bacterial small subunit ribosomal RNA", at positions 28 to 474 of the family's 1533-position model. The record is from RNAcentral. Lineage: Bacteria; Bacillati; Bacillota; Negativicutes; Veillonellales; Veillonellaceae.